Molecule: transfer RNA, 71 nt
Filed under: Chauliodus sloani (Sloane's viperfish)
Lineage: Eukaryota; Metazoa; Chordata; Actinopteri; Stomiiformes; Stomiidae
Description: tRNA-Ser (UCN)
Rfam family: tRNA
About the family: Transfer RNA (tRNA) molecules are approximately 80 nucleotides in length. Their secondary structure includes four short double-helical elements and three loops (D, anti-codon, and T loops). Further hydrogen bonds mediate the characteristic L-shaped molecular structure. tRNAs have two regions of fundamental functional importance: the anti-codon, which is responsible for specific mRNA codon recognition, and the 3' end, to which the tRNAs corresponding amino acid is attached (by aminoacyl-tRNA synthetases). tRNAs cope with the degeneracy of the genetic code in two manners: having more than one tRNA (with a specific anti-codon) for a particular amino acid; and 'wobble' base-pairing, i.e. permitting non-standard base-pairing at the 3rd anti-codon position.
Source: RNAcentral
AAGGAAGUGGCAGAGCGGUUAUGCAAUUGACUUGAAAUCAGUUUAAGGGGGUUCGACUCCUCCCUUUCUCG